GAUGAAGAACGUAGCGAAAUGCGAUAAGUAAUGUGAAUUGCAGAAUUCAGUGAAUCAUCGAAUCUUUGAACGCACAUUGCGCCCGCCAGUAUUCUGGCGGGCAUGCCUGUUCGAGCGUCAUUUCAACCAUCAAGCCCCAGGCUUGUGUUGGGGACCUGCGGCUGCCGCAGGCCCUGAAAACCAGUGGCGGGCUCGCUGUCACACCGGGCGUAGUAGAUUUUAUCUCGCUCAGGGCGUGCUGCGGGUCCCGGCCGUUAAAAGCCUUCGUAACCCAAGGUUGACCUCGGAUCAGGUAGGAAGACCCGCUGAACUUAAGCAUAUCAAUAAGCGGAGGA
Molecule: unclassified non-coding RNA, 335 nt
Filed under: soil metagenome
Description: partial contains 5.8S ribosomal RNA, internal transcribed spacer 2, and large subunit ribosomal RNA
Rfam family: 5.8S ribosomal RNA (bases 1-120)
Source: RNAcentral